Molecule: ribosomal RNA, 442 nt
Filed under: uncultured bacterium
Lineage: Bacteria
Description: partial 16S ribosomal RNA
Rfam family: Bacterial small subunit ribosomal RNA
Source: RNAcentral
CCUACGGGGGACAGCAGUGGGGGAUAUUGGACAAUGGGGGGAACCCUGAUCCAGCGACGCCGCGUGAGUGAAGAAGUAUCUCGGUAUGUAAAGCCCUAUCAGCAGGGAAGAAGAAAUGACGGUACCUGCGUAAGCAGCACCGGCUAACUACGUGCCAGCAGCCGCGGUAAUACGUAGGGGGCAAGCGUUAUCCGGAAUUACUGGGUGGAAAGGGAGCGUAGGCGGUGAUGUAAGUCUGGAGUGAAAGGCCGGGGCCCAACCCCCGGACUGCUCUGGAAACUAUGUGACUGGAGUGCAGGAGAGGUGAGCGGAAUUCCGAGUGUAGCGGUGAAAUGCGUAGAUAUUAGGAGGAACACCAGUGGCGAAGGCGGCUUACUGGACGGUAACUGACGUUGAGGCUCGAAAGCGUGGGGAGCAAACAGGAUUAGAUACCCGAGUAGUC